GGGUUGUGAGGUUAAGCGACUAAGCGUACACGGUGGAUGCCCUGGCAGUCAGAGGCGAUGAAGGACGUGCUAAUCUGCGAUAAGCGUCGGUGAGGUGAUAUGAACCGUUAUAACCGGCGAUUUCCGAAUGGGGAAACCCAGUGUGUUUCGACACACUAUCAUUAACUGAAUCCAUAGGUUAAUGAGGCGAACCGGGGGAACUGAAACAUCUAAGUACCCCGAGGAAAAGAAAUCAACCGAGAUUCCCCCAGUAGCGGCGAGCGAACGGGGAGGAGCCCAGAGCCUGAAUCAGUGUGUGUGUUAGUGGAAGCGUCUGGAAAGGCGUGCGAUACAGGGUGACAGCCCCGUACACAAAAAUGCACAUGCUGUGAGCUCGAUGAGUAGGGCGGGACACGUGGUAUCCUGUCUGAAUAUGGGGGGACCAUCCUCCAAGGCUAAAUACUCCUGACUGACCGAUAGUGAACCAGUACCGUGAGGGAAAGGCGAAAAGAACCCCGGCGAGGGGAGUGAAAAAGAACCUGAAACCGUGUACGUACAAGCAGUGGGAGCCUCUUAAUGAGGUGACUGCGUACCUUUUGUAUAAUGGGUCAGCGACUUAUAUUCUGUAGCAAGGUUAACCGAAUAGGGGAGCCGAAGGGAAACCGAGUCUUAACUGGGCGUUAAGUUGCAGGGUAUAGACCCGAAACCCGGUGAUCUAGCCAUGGGCAGGUUGAAGGUUGGGUAACACUAACUGGAGGACCGAACCGACUAAUGUUGAAAAAUUAGCGGAUGACUUGUGGCUGGGGGUGAAAGGCCAAUCAAACCGGGAGAUAGCUGGUUCUCCCCGAAAGCUAUUUAGGUAGCGCCUCGUGAAUUCAUCUCCGGGGGUAGAGCACUGUUUCGGCAAGGGGGUCAUCCCGACUUACCAACCCGAUGCAAACUGCGAAUACCGGAGAAUGUUAUCACGGGAGACACACGGCGGGUGCUAACGUCCGUCGUGAAGAGGGAAACAACCCAGACCGCCAGCUAAGGUCCCAAAGUCAUGGUUAAGUGGGAAACGAUGUGGGAAGGCCCAGACAGCCAGGAUGUUGGCUUAGAAGCAGCCAUCAUUUAAAGAAAGCGUAAUAGCUCACUGGUCGAGUCGGCCUGCGCGGAAGAUGUAACGGGGCUAAACCAUGCACCGAAGCUGCGGCAGCGACACUAUGUGUUGUUGGGUAGGGGAGCGUUCUGUAAGCCUGUGAAGGUGGCCUGUGAGGGUUGCUGGAGGUAUCAGAAGUGCGAAUGCUGACAUAAGUAACGAUAAAGCGGGUGAAAAGCCCGCUCGCCGGAAGACCAAGGGUUCCUGUCCAACGUUAAUCGGGGCAGGGUGAGUCGACCCCUAAGGCGAGGCCGAAAGGCGUAGUCGAUGGGAAACAGGUUAAUAUUCCUGUACUUGGUGUUACUGCGAAGGGGGGACGGAGAAGGCUAUGUUGGCCGGGCGACGGUUGUCCCGGUUUAAGCGUGUAGGCUGGUUUUCCAGGCAAAUCCGGAAAACCAAGGCUGAGGCGUGAUGACGAGGCACUACGGUGCUGAAGCGACAAAUGCCCUGCUUCCAGGAAAAGCCUCUAAGCAUCAGGUAACAUCAAAUCGUACCCCAAACCGACACAGGUGGUCAGGUAGAGAAUACCAAGGCGCUUGAGAGAACUCGGGUGAAGGAACUAGGCAAAAUGGUGCCGUAACUUCGGGAGAAGGCACGCUGAUAUGUAGGUGAAGCGACUUGCUCGUGGAGCUGAAAUCAGUCGAAGAUACCAGCUGGCUGCAACUGUUUAUUAAAAACACAGCACUGUGCAAACACGAAAGUGGACGUAUACGGUGUGACGCCUGCCCGGUGCCGGAAGGUUAAUUGAUGGGGUUAGCGGCAACGCGAAGCUCUUGAUCGAAGCCCCGGUAAACGGCGGCCGUAACUAUAACGGUCCUAAGGUAGCGAAAUUCCUUGUCGGGUAAGUUCCGACCUGCACGAAUGGCGUAAUGAUGGCCAGGCUGUCUCCACCCGAGACUCAGUGAAAUUGAACUCGCUGUGAAGAUGCAGUGUACCCGCGGCAAGACGGAAAGACCCCGUGAACCUUUACUAUAGCUUGACACUGAACAUUGAGCCUUGAUGUGUAGGAUAGGUGGGAGGCUUUGAAGUGUGGACGCCAGUCUGCAUGGAGCCGACCUUGAAAUACCACCCUUUAAUGUUUGAUGUUCUAACGUUGGCCCGUAAUCCGGGUUGCGGACAGUGUCUGGUGGGUAGUUUGACUGGGGCGGUCUCCUCCUAAAGAGUAACGGAGGAGCACGAAGGUUGGCUAAUCCUGGUCGGACAUCAGGAGGUUAGUGCAAUGGCAUAAGCCAGCUUGACUGCGAGCGUGACGGCGCGAGCAGGUGCGAAAGCAGGUCAUAGUGAUCCGGUGGUUCUGAAUGGAAGGGCCAUCGCUCAACGGAUAAAAGGUACUCCGGGGAUAACAGGCUGAUACCGCCCAAGAGUUCAUAUCGACGGCGGUGUUUGGCACCUCGAUGUCGGCUCAUCACAUCCUGGGGCUGAAGUAGGUCCCAAGGGUAUGGCUGUUCGCCAUUUAAAGUGGUACGCGAGCUGGGUUUAGAACGUCGUGAGACAGUUCGGUCCCUAUCUGCCGUGGGCGCUGGAGAACUGAGGGGGGCUGCUCCUAGUACGAGAGGACCGGAGUGGACGCAUCACUGGUGUUCGGGUUGUCAUGCCAAUGGCACUGCCCGGUAGCUAAAUGCGGAAGAGAUAAGUGCUGAAAGCAUCUAAGCACGAAACUUGCCCCGAGAUGAGUUCUCCCUGACUCCUUGAGAGUCCUGAAGGAACGUUGAAGACGACGACGUUGAUAGGCCGGGUGUGUAAGCGCAGCGAUGCGUUGAGCUAACCGGUACUAAUGAACCGUGAGGCUUAACCUUACAACGCCGAAG
RNAcentral lists this ribosomal RNA (2925 nucleotides) under Escherichia coli. RNAcentral describes it as "bacterial LSU rRNA". It matches the Rfam family "Bacterial large subunit ribosomal RNA". Lineage: Bacteria; Pseudomonadati; Pseudomonadota; Gammaproteobacteria; Enterobacterales; Enterobacteriaceae. The record is from RNAcentral.